GGAAAUAGCCCAGCACUGAAUCCCGCGGUUGUCACGGCCGCGGGAGAUGUGGUGUUCGGGAGGUUCCGCUUUCUCGUCUUCGCGUCUCCUGUCCAAGUUCGUCUUGAACGGGGCCGUUUUCCCGUAGAGGGUGCCAGGCCCGUAGCGACGGAGGGCGGCGGCGAGAGGGACUCUCCUCAGAGUCGGGUUGCUUGAGAGUGCAGCCCUAAGUGGGUGGUAAACUCCAUCUAAGGCUAAAUAUUACCGCGAGACCGAUAGCGAACAAGUACCG
This 271-nucleotide ribosomal RNA is filed under the name Promalactis suzukiella. RNAcentral describes it as "partial 28S ribosomal RNA". It matches the Rfam family "Eukaryotic large subunit ribosomal RNA", at positions 100 to 353 of the family's 3401-position model. Lineage: Eukaryota; Metazoa; Arthropoda; Insecta; Lepidoptera; Oecophoridae. The record is from RNAcentral.